UAGGGAAUCUUCGGCAAUGGGGGGAACCCUGACCGAGCAACGCCGCGUGAGUGAAGAAGGUUUUCGGAUCGUAAAGCUCUGUUGUUAAGGAAGAACGAGUGUGAGAAUGGAAAGUUCAUACUGUGACGGUACUUAACCAGAAAGGGACGGCUAACUACGUGCCAGCAGCCGCGGUAAUACGUAGGUCCCGAGCGUUGUCCGGAUUUAUUGGGCGUAAAGCGAGCGCAGGCGGUUAGAUAAGUCUGAAGUUAAAGGCGGUGGCUCAACCAUUGUAGGCUUUGGAAACUGUUUAACUUGAGUGCAGAAGGGGAGAGUGGAAUUCCAUGUGUGGCGGUGAAAUGCGUAGAUAUAUGGAGGAACACCGGUGGCGAAAGCGGCUCUCUGGUCUGUAACUGACGCUGAGGCUCGAAAGCGUGGGGAGCGAACAGG
This 429-nucleotide ribosomal RNA is filed under the name Bacteroidota bacterium. RNAcentral's name for it is "Bacteroidetes bacterium partial 16S ribosomal RNA". It matches the Rfam family "Bacterial small subunit ribosomal RNA", at positions 355 to 776 of the family's 1533-position model. The record is from RNAcentral. Lineage: Bacteria; Pseudomonadati; Bacteroidota.